CUACGGACUGCUCCAGUGGGGAAUAUUGCACAAUGGGCGCAAGCCUGAUGCAGCCAUGCCGCGUGUAUGAAGAAGGCCUUCGGGUUGUAAAGUACUUUCAGCGGGGAGGAAGGGAGUAAAGUUAAUACCUUUGCUCAUUGACGUUACCCGCAGAAGAAGCACCGGCUAACUCCGUGCCAGCAGCCGCGGUAAUACGGAGGGUGCAAGCGUUAAUCGGAAUUACUGGGCGUAAAGCGCACGCAGGCGGUUUGUUAAGUCAGAUGUGAAAUCCCCGGGCUCAACCUGGGAACUGCAUCUGAUACUGGCAAGCUCGAGUCUCGUAGAGGGGGGUAGAAUUCCAGGUGUAGCGGUGAAAUGCGUAGAGAUCUGGAGGAAUACCGGUGGCGAAGGCGGCCCCCUGGACGAAGACUGACGCUCAGGUGCGAAAGCGUGGGGAGCAAACAGGAUUAGAUACCCGCGUAGUC
Molecule: ribosomal RNA, 464 nt
Filed under: uncultured bacterium
Lineage: Bacteria
Description: partial 16S ribosomal RNA
Rfam family: Bacterial small subunit ribosomal RNA
Source: RNAcentral